Molecule: ribosomal RNA, 440 nt
Filed under: uncultured bacterium
Lineage: Bacteria
Description: partial 16S ribosomal RNA
Rfam family: Bacterial small subunit ribosomal RNA
Source: RNAcentral
CCUACGGGGGGCAGCAGUGGGGGAUAUUGCACAAUGGGGGAAACCCUGAUGCAGCGACGCCGCGUGUGGGAAGACGGUCCUCUGGAUUGUAAACCACUGUCCCCAGGGACGAAGAUGACGGUAGCUGGGGAGGAAGCUCCGGCUAACUAGGGGCCAGCAGCCGCGGUAAUACGUAGGGAGCAAGCGUUGUCCGGAAUUACUGGGGGUAAAGGGAGCGUAGGCGGGUUGGAAGGUUGGGUGUUAAAUCUACCGGCUCAACUGGGAGUCGCACUCAAAACUGCUAUUCUUGAGUGCAGUCGCGGAUGGCGGAAUUCCUGGUGUAGCGGUGAAAUGCGUAGAUAUUAGGAAGAACACCGGUGGCGAAGGCGGGCUGCUGGGCUUUUACUGACGCUGAGGCUCGAAAGUGUGGGGAGCAAACAGGAUUAGAUACCCGAGUAGUC